Molecule: ribosomal RNA, 232 nt
Filed under: uncultured bacterium
Lineage: Bacteria
Description: partial 16S ribosomal RNA
Rfam family: Bacterial small subunit ribosomal RNA
Source: RNAcentral
AGUAACACGUGAGUAAUCCACCCUCGGUACCGGAAUAGCCCGGGGAAACUCGGAUUAAUGCCGGAUGGCCCAUUUGCUCUUCGGAGCUGAAUGGAAAAGAUAGCUUCGGCCUUCGACUGGGGACGAGCUCGCGGCGGAUUAGCUUGUUGGCGGGGUAACGGCCCACCAAGGCGACGAUCCGUAGCUGGUCUGAGAGGACGAUCAGCCACACUGGGACUGAGACACGGCCCAG